UCCGGCUUGACGCCGGCGGUCUCGUUAGAGUUCCCGGCAUUACCCGCUGGCAACUAACGACAGGGGUUUCGCUCGUUAAGGGACUUAACCCGACACUUCACAGCACGAGCUGACGACAGCCAUGCAGCACCUGUGCACGUUUCACCCGAAGGCAGCCUACUCCUGUUUCCAAGAGAGCAUCCGUGCAUGUCAAACCCAGGUAAGGUUCUUCGCGUUGCUUCGAAUUAAUCCACAUGCUCCACUGCUUGUGUGAGCCCCCGUCAAUUCCUUUGAGUUUUAGCCUUGCGGCCGUACUCCCCAGGCGGCGCACUUAGCACUUUUGCUUCGGCACGGUCGACGUCAGAGUCUCCCAUACCUAGUGCGCAUCGUUUACGGCGUGGACUAC
This 385-nucleotide unclassified non-coding RNA is filed under the name uncultured Phycisphaerae bacterium. RNAcentral's name for it is "contains 16S-23S intergenic spacer region". Lineage: Bacteria; Pseudomonadati; Planctomycetota; Phycisphaerae. The record is from RNAcentral.